GGAUGUGAGGGCAAACUGGCUGCGACAUCUGUCACCCCAUUGAUCGCCAGGGUUGAUUCGGUUGAUCUGGCUGGCUAGGAGAGUGUCCCCUUCCUCCCUCACCGCUCCAUGUGAAUGCCUCCCAAAGGGGUGCAAGAGGGCAGCCUUCCCCAAUAGAGACUGACUGGUCUUCGGUCAGGGUAUACAAGUAGCUGCGAUCCCGUGCUUGAACCUCCAAACAAGCUCUCAAGAGAUGGAAUUCUUUUCUCUCUCUCUCUCUCUUUCUUUCUUUAAAUAUUUACUUAUUU
RNAcentral lists this small nuclear RNA (287 nucleotides) under Erinaceus europaeus (western European hedgehog). Its description in RNAcentral is "7SK RNA". It matches the Rfam family "7SK RNA", at positions 1 to 248 of the family's 331-position model. From Rfam's summary of the family: 7SK was discovered as an abundant small nuclear RNA in the mid-70s but a possible function has only recently been suggested. Two independent studies have found that 7SK RNA binds the CDK9/cyclin T complex (known as elongation factor P-TEFb). Lineage: Eukaryota; Metazoa; Chordata; Mammalia; Eulipotyphla; Erinaceidae. The record is from Rfam by way of RNAcentral.